This 451-nucleotide ribosomal RNA is filed under the name uncultured bacterium. RNAcentral's name for it is "bacterial SSU rRNA". It matches the Rfam family "Bacterial small subunit ribosomal RNA", at positions 328 to 793 of the family's 1533-position model. The record is from RNAcentral.
CGCCCAGACUCCUACGGGAGGCAGCAGUGGGGAAUAUUGGACAAUGGGGGGAACCCUGAUCCAGCGACGCCGCGUGAGUGAAGAAGUAUUUCGGUAUGUAAAGCUCUAUCAGCAGGGAAGAAAGAAAUGACGGUACCUGACUAAGAAGCCCCGGCUAACUACGUGCCAGCAGCCGCGGUAAUACGUAGGGGGCAAGCGUUAUCCGGAUUUACUGGGUGUAAAGGGAGCGUAGACGGCAGUGCAAGUCUGAAGUGAAAGGCGGGGGCCCAACCCCCGAACUGCUUUGGAAACUGUGCUGCUGGAGUGCAGGAGAGGCAAGUGGAAUUCCUAGUGUAGCGGUGAAAUGCGUAGAUAUUAGGAGGAACACCGGUGGCGAAGGCGGCUUACUGGACCAUAACUGACGUUGAGGCUCGAAAGCGUGGGGAGCGAACAGGAUUAGAUACCCGUGUAG